Molecule: long non-coding RNA, 2990 nt
Organism: Gavialis gangeticus (Gharial)
Lineage: Eukaryota; Metazoa; Chordata; Crocodylia; Gavialidae
Exons: 2
Source: RefSeq, a predicted model, not a curated record
UCUCCUUUCAAACUACGAUGAACAUGUGGAGAUGACUUCGCUUGACAGCGAUGAAGACACAGUGUUUGAAACAAGAAAUCUGAGGCGAUGAUGUGGGACCCGGGGCUCGAUCUGCACAGACAGAUCCAGAAGGUGCAUGCCCAGCUGCAGGAUCGCCUCGCCAAUUUUCGGGGGUUAUUUUGUCCUAACUGCUUAAAAUGACUGCUAAUUAACAGCACGAAAUGUUCUUGCUGGGGGCAGGGCAGUGUAACCCUGUCUCCCCCUCUCCCGUGCGCCUUGUGUAGGGGAAGGUGGAGUGACAGGAGCCCUGCAGCAUGGGGACCAAUCAUGGGAAAACUUUAAAACUCUUCAUAACAAACGUGUGACUCUCUCAGGUGGAUUGAACAUAUGGGACCUGAGUGUUUGAGCCUUGUCUUCUGGCUUGGGGAUUCUAAUGAAUAUCCCACCUCCAUUCAUUCCCCACCCUCUACUAAGUAGGGCAGUUGAGCUGAAGUGCUGUUGGGGAGUUGGGUUCUUUCACUUGCCAUGUCAGUAUAUGGUCACUUCUUUAUUAAUAGACUCUGUACCUGGCUGUGUCCAGUGCGAUCAGUCAGGAGGGAUCCUCUUGCUUGCUGAGGGGUGGGUGCUAUGUUCAGUUAGCGUGGGCAGCUGGGAGGAUAGCUCAGGGACCAGUGCGUCUGGGGCAGCGGUGUUCUGGCUGUUGCUAUUAGUGCUCACCCAGCAGCUCGGAGGUGGAAAUCGUGCCAUGGCAAUACAGGUUGUUACCCCUUUUGGAAAAGGAAAGAUGGCACUUGACUAGGAGAGCAUUUCUCUGAAGCACCAGCAGUGACUAGUGCGUGCUUGCUGCGAGAUCAGCGAAGCGUCAGGGAACAGCAGCAAACCAAAGGACCUGCAAGCGUCACCUGCACCGCAGAAAUGUUCGAUAGUUGCCCAGCUGCUGGACUUGGAGGGCUGUGAUCACACGUGGAAGGAUUAGCUGAGGACCGUGCUCCAAGCCAGAGGGUCUUGCUCCCUGUGCGAUUGUGACGUGUUCAAAGAGGAGGAAUAACCCUGAGGAGGAGCUGAUGCCGGAUCCCUGUGCACUAUCGAUCUUAACCUGAGGCAGCUCUGCUUCAACAGGAACCCCUCCUUGAGGGAGGGCCGUAGCGCUGGUGGUGUUAGGACUCUGGACUGCGCCAGGUCAUCUGCCCAGCGGACUGCAGGGGAAUCAUUUGUACCACUGAGGGUGGUUGUGGGUCCUGUGGUGAUGGUGGGUGGGGAGUAUUUGAAUGUAUUACAAACGUGCAGCCCACCUCUCUGGCAGCACGGUGGGAACUAGGCUGGAAUGAUCCUGCUUACAGCACGCUUUCUUAGCACAUGGCUUCCGCCCCUGCGUGGGCAGCCAGUGGGGUGACACUGGUCUUGGGCAAUGGAGGGCAGGACGGUCUUGCAAGCCUUAACAUGCUCCCUCACUUGUGAAGGAGGAGUGCCUUUGUUAUAGGAAGCCAAGAGGAGUCAUCCUGCUGGCAGGAGUUCCCUGGCUGGGGAGGCGCAGCUGUGAGGCCAGACUGCGGUGUUAGGUGUGUCCAUUAAGCAUCUGUGGGAAGGGAAGCCCUGGAAACAGGAUGUUAGCUUCUAGCUGGCAACGAUUUCUCCUUGUUGAAGAGAGAGAAACUGGCAAUUAGGAAAGGAGCUCUUCCUCCUUCAGCAGCGCUGCGUGGCUUUGUACCAGCCACACGGCAGUGGAGAGCUGUUGCCCUGGGAGCACCAUGCUCUUGGGGUUCAUCUACACAAGGCCUAGUACCUCGCCACUGUAGGCAAGGCACCCCUCUCCAUCCCUCCCUGCACGCCUUGGGGAGGCACAGACACCCUUUGGGUUUAGCAGCAAAAGUAUUUGUGGAAAUGCCUUCCCAGGGAGACAUGCCAGUGCCUCGGCCUGCCCCAACCUCAGCUCCUUUUUAUCCUUUAAUGCUCAGUUUAAGCACUUUUUCCUUGCUGAUUUGCUGCAUUACGGUCAGCUGCCAUGGUCCAAGCCCCUCCUGCCCUGCAGGUCAUGCCCUCAGCUAGCUGAUUUUGAUUCAUCAGCUGCAUUACCUCUGCGCUCUGUAACAGGAGCUGACAUUUCCCUUAACUCUUCAGCCCCCAGCACGAACCUAAUUUCCCCUAAAGCUUGAUUUGCAGAGCCCUGAAGUCAGACAGUUUACUUCAAUCCUCUUAGCCAACCUGUGUGGCUCAGCAUUUUUGCCGUCAUGCUCAUUGGACUUCCAUUAGCUGCAAGUGAGGCAUUUUUUUUUUUUUAUCCUUUAAGCUCUUGUUCCUAGUUGGACCAAGGGAGUCGGCAAGCUUUGAUUUUCCUGGGUUUGUUGGAAUGGAUGAUUCCAAGAAAAUAAUGAUUGUGUAUUUUAACAUGUGGAUGAUUUAAUGAUUCUGGUGGAAGUAAAGGGGACCUAUUUUUUUUUUUAAAGUAUGUAUUUGUAAUGAUUCCAAUACCAGACAGAAGCGCCCGUUCUGGCAGCAGUGUGGGGUGUCUUGUGUUUGGGAUGUGCAAUUGGGGUGGAGGGCUUGCACCUACAAUGAAUGCCACCUGCAAGGGACCAGUUUAAUGGUGCGUGGUAGGCUGAAUUAAUUAAGGAAGAGUCCUCGUGCUUUCCCAGUAUAGAGGGGCACCCAAUACCUGAAUACUGCUUAAGCCCUCUGCGCAGGGGUGUUUCUAGGGGUGCCAAAGGGACCAGGAGAAAAGCCUCUUCAUCGCUUUUAAUCUAACCAUGCUUCGGGUAGAGAAGGUUCUGACCCUUUGCUGCUCCACGGUGGAAGCUAUUCCCUCUUCUUCCCUCCCCUUUAAUCAUAGGAGCUCAUUUUACAUUCUGCCUCUUCGGAGACAGUUUCUCAACCUGGGUUUGCUCCCAGCUGGCCAAGAUUAUCCUCUGCCAUUCCUGCUCUCUCAGACAUUUGGUUGCUUUAAAUCAUUGUUAAUGCAUCUUGUGGGAGAAAUAAAUGAAGAAUGCUGACAA